UGAGAACAAAAUUAACAUUAAAAUGUUAUGCAUUAAAUCUACAUCACCGUUAGGCAAAAAUAGAGAUAACACAUAAGGCCAUAACUAUAACAUUGCAAUUAACAACGUUGGUCAGAAAAUUACAACAUCAUAGUACAGAAUUAAUGUUCCUAAAAUUAAAUUCUCCCGUUGGUUCGAAAUUUAAAUUUAGAAACACUAAUUUUUAUCAAUUUCAUCUAUUUGCAGCGGAAGAUCUAUAUAAAAUUCAUAUGAACAGUAGCAAAUUAUGUUAUUUACACUAUGUAAAAAUUACACCUUUGGUUCAAAAUUUAAACAGAGGUAAGGCAUGCAAAAUCGAUUAAAAAAUCUAUUGAAAUUUGCAUGAAAAUAGACAAAAUAAAAAGAAAGUCGCUACCGUUCCUUUUCUUCAUUUUGGCCCAUCAAAGAAGUCGGCCCAUCGCCGGGCGUGUGCGGGCGCCCCCCUCCCCCCAGGCCGCAACCUGGGCCUGGGCCUGAAAGCCGCCGCCGCGCGCCUCCCAUCUUGGGCUCAAUUUGGCCUGGCUGACGCCGGCCAUCCAAUCGCUAGGGUUUCGAUCGGAUGGCCAGGCGGAGAGAUCGGGCGGUAAAAUAAACCCGACCCCCAGCCGCCGGCCAAAAACCCUAGCCUCUCUUUUCUCUCUCGCGCACGACCGCGCGACGCGAAGGUCGCCGCCGCCGGCGACCUUCGCGUCGCCGCGCCUUGCACCGCCGGCGUCCGGGCAGCGCCUCGCCCCGCCGCCAUCUUUUCUCUUUCCCCUCACCAUCUCUAGCCCUCCACCCCUCUACCGAGUGAAGUGAGAGAGAGAGACGGCCGAACGAGAUGGCAGCGCCACCGCGGGCCCCCUCGCCGGCACGUGCGUGCACCCGCUGGUGCGCGCACGGCCGUCGAGGGGCUCCUUGACGACGCCCUGUGCCCUCCCCCAUUCCCCCUUUGCCGGCGUUGACGAUGGCCAGCGACGAGGGAUGCAAGAUAUCGAAGAUCGAUGGAAAUUGCUGCCGCCUACAAGGUGCAAGAAAUCAUCACAUCCGGCAUUUAAGUGUGUGAAAGACUGGUUCUGAUUUUUUUUUUUGCUUUGUUGUGUUUCUUCUCUGUGCCAUAGCUAGAAGCUAGACUGAAAACAACUAUGGUAUUUUUAGGCUUUUUUAUCUUAGUGAAUUCAUGUAAAAAUAUUUAGUUAUGGUUCUAUCCAGUUUUUGAUGGUUGUUCUUGAA
This is a long non-coding RNA of Oryza sativa Japonica Group (Japanese rice), 1230 nucleotides long. RefSeq lists it as uncharacterized. NCBI's taxonomy places the organism in Eukaryota, Viridiplantae, Streptophyta, Magnoliopsida, Poales, Poaceae. The record is from RefSeq and is a predicted model, not a curated record.